UGGUGUGGCUGGACCUCGUGUAUGUCAAGGAACAGGGAAGCAGCUGAUGUGGCAGUCGUAUUAACAGGCAGUUAUAAAAACCAAGCAUCUGUAAAUCCUUUUGAUAAAUAUUUGUGAAAUUUCAAAAUCCUCACGUCUGAGCAGUGGAAGGGAAAUGCAGUGAAAAUGAUCAGCUAGGAAGUCCAUCUAAGCUUUCAUUGCCUGAUGGAACUAAGUUAUAAGACCAAGUGAUCCUGAUGUCUUUUUAAUGGAGGAACUUUAACAAGUGUUGUAAAAUCUCCUUUGGUAAUGAAUAAUUUCCUCUGAGUUGGGAAAGCAGUAAAUACUUGGGCUAAUUUGUU
Molecule: long non-coding RNA, 341 nt
Organism: Miniopterus natalensis
Lineage: Eukaryota; Metazoa; Chordata; Mammalia; Chiroptera; Miniopteridae
Source: RefSeq, a predicted model, not a curated record